Long non-coding RNA from Populus euphratica (Euphrates poplar), 621 nucleotides. RefSeq lists it as uncharacterized. The transcript is spliced from 4 exons. The record is from RefSeq and is a predicted model, not a curated record. Lineage: Eukaryota; Viridiplantae; Streptophyta; Magnoliopsida; Malpighiales; Salicaceae.
CAACUCAUUUCAUCAUUUCAUGUCCAUCUUAUCGCUUUGUUACCAGCGGGCCAAGCUUUUUUACGUGUCCACUCACCUCAAAAUACGCAAGACUUUUGUCAUUAAGGGUUGAAAAAUUACUUGUUCUCGUCCAGUUAACAAAUAUAGAAACGAGGGACGUUUCUUUUGCAGUUAACAAAUCUUAAUAAAGAAGCAUCAAUCACCCCAACUCAGAAUUCCGCUCCCGCGGCCCUCUCCCUUCCUCUCUCACUCACUCUCGUAUAAAACAGAUCAGGUUUUUCUCUGAUUUGCAGUUGGACUGUAAUUUGGGAUUCAAUACAGCCCAUGUUUGCUAGCGCGCAGAACGUAGACAGCUAUUGGAAAACUCCAAUCAUGGACUAAGAACGGUUGUUUGAUGAAGGACCAGGGGAUUACCUGCUUUAAGACAAUCAGACUGUUGGAUUGGAAAAAAUAUUGAGCGUGCUGAAAUGCGUGAUUAUAUCAUUAUCAAUUGCAAAAUUCCUUUCAGGUGUUAUUAACUUCCUCGGAGCAUUGAAGAUGAAAGAGUUUUGUUUUUCCUUGGAGUAGGACUUCUGAUUGAAAGAUAAACCCAAGGAUACUACUCUGAAGUUCCCAAGCAAA